RNAcentral lists this long non-coding RNA (2522 nucleotides) under Felis catus (domestic cat). Its description in RNAcentral is "lncRNA (ENSFCAG00000045121.2)". Lineage: Eukaryota; Metazoa; Chordata; Mammalia; Carnivora; Felidae. The record is from RNAcentral.
GGCCCUGUAAGUGUGUGUGUGUGUGUGUGUGUGUGUGUGUGUUGUGUGUGUGUGUUUGCGUGUGUGUAAUUGCGGUGGACUGGAUUCUUGUUGAACAAAUAUUCACUCAAUAUUCACUCUCUCUUCCUCCUUAGGAUGGCAUAUACUUAUAUUUACCUGCCUCACUCAUUUUGGGCAUGGCCAUGUAACCGGGUGCACAGAAGCGGGAGUGUACUGAGGCUUUGAAUGUUUGUUUAGCCUCUGGAGCUCCUGCCUACUUCAUGAUGUAAGUACGUCCAGGGUAGCCAUAGUUCCAGGAUGAAGAGACAUGGGGAAAGCAGACCUGACCCAAGCCCAAAUGAGUCCAGCCAACUCACAGACCCAUUACUGAAAAGAAAUAAAUGCCUGUUGUAAGCCACUGAGAUUUUGGGAUUAUUUGUUACACAGCCUUAUCAUGGAAAAGCUGACUAACAAGUGUUCAUGGUAGUCUUUACAGGGAACUAGUCCAAUACUCAGGCCUUUUCACAGAGGGCUUCAGGAUGGAGGCACCUGCUCUGUUGCAUGUCAUUAAGGAAUCAGGUUUUAGUAAAUAGUUCCUCCCCCUUUUAGACUCCGUUCCCUGACCUCUUCCUCAAGUGCAUAUCUCCCCCCCUCUUUAGGACAAUUAACCACAUUCACAAAAUUCCACCUCCUCCUCCUCUACAGGCCACUUCUGCAGGCUCUCAGAACUGUCUGUCUUUGACAAGGGCUAUCCUUGUUGUGGGAGGCCCUCAGCUUUCCGAGGAGGUUGGAAAGAAUGGAGCUCAGAGAAAUGGAGGGGCCCCCGCAAGCUGCAGCAGCAGGAGGCAAAGGAACCAGCAGCAGGGCCCUCUGGAAAGAUCGGAGGAGGCAUGUAGCUGAGUGCUCACACAACGUGAGGAUGUCGCAGCUCCAAACCAGGGUGUUCUCUGUGAUGUCAGAGAACACAAAGAGCACUGACAUAUUUCUGGAGCUCAGGUGGAUAGCUAAUGGACUGGAGGAGCUUUCAACUCAACUGGAGCGAUACAUAAAGAGAAAACUUAAUUACAGUUAGGAUUCCGUGGGUUAACUGGGUAAGCAAGUAGCCUCCAUAUUUCAUAGCAUCUAAGACACAAUUGAUUUUAAGAUGCACCAUUAUUUUAUGUACCUCUGAGGAAAAAAGUACUGCCAAUUAAACUGUGACCACAAUGCUUUAUAUCUUAGAAUGGUAAUUUUACCCUUAUUGAAAGAGCUCUUUAAGAUUUGUUUAGAUACUUGUGCAUACAUUAAAAUGAAAAUACAAGCAAAAUAUGUUGGUUGUGAUAUUCUUAAAUUGUCUUCACAAGGUGGGCUCUGCCGAUUGGCUCUCUGAUUUAGAGUUGCUGGUGUCUAUGGUUCUCUAGGCAAUGCCUCUCUCUGUGAAAUUAAGACUAGUGAACACAAGCAUUUCUUCCCACAGCACUGCACCAUUGAUCUGGGGGUUUCUUCCCAGACCCUGACACACAUUUACAAGUUCUAGAACUGGUGCUUUCUUCAUCGUACAGGAAGGUAUGAAUCCAGGACUCAUUUAUUUUUUUCUUCAAAUGAUCCUUAAAUGGUUCAUUGAUUAAAAGACCAAGGUUUGUAAUUAUGUAACCUUGCCACCAGGACAACAACCAAGUGUGCUCAUGUGUGGACAGUGACAGUGCUGUAAUUUCCAUCUUGUUUGACAACAAUUGUAAGAUGCCAACACCAACACCAUGAGGGCUGCCCUGGUAAGCUGCUUUCUACUUCCUUCCAAUUUCCUUCUUCUCUAAUCUCAGAUAGCUCUUAUAUGUGGAACAGUCUUAGGUAUAACUCAUCCAGUUCGAUGCAUGGAUGAGGAUGCCUGAUGUUCUCAGUGGCCAAGUCCUGUAUGCUUAUUACAUAGAAAUGGGAAGUAGAAGAGAGAGGGCAGAGCCUAGAUUCUUGCCUUUGAGGAUAGGUAGCUGUACUCACUAGUAAUAUGGAACUCAAGUAAUGAUCCAGCUUAAACAGCUCCUUCUCAGGAAAUCCUGCUCCAGUAUCCUUGCUGUGCUGACAUAGUAGCCCAUACUGACCUCUGUCACAGCAUGCCCCAUGUGUAUGUGGCCAUUGUGAUGUCCUUGAGAGCAGCAACCCUAUCUAUUCAUCCUUGUAACCCAGUGCCUGGUGCAAUGCCCAGGCUUUAGUAGACUUUGGGUGAACAGUUGCCAAAAGACCGAGGAUGGAAAGAAUGGGGCAGGAAAUGCUCAGGGACAGGGAAAUGCCAGCCACAUUUAGAGAAGGUGGAGUCUUGUUGUUUGUCUGAGAUGGAGGGUGUAUGACAGGAAGCAGUGGAAAGUCAGAACAGGAGGGAAGGCUGGCUUGGAGUACUACAAGGAGGAAGAUUAUUUGGCUGCAUAGAACCUGAUAAAGACUAUUUCAGAGCACCUGUAUGUAAUCCAAUAUGUAUAUUGAGUCACAGAUGACAGUUACAACAGAAAUGAAUUGAUCAGUAUUAACCAUAUAUCAGAUGAGGUAGUUUAAAUAAAGAAACUGAUAUUCCU